This 325-nucleotide ribosomal RNA is filed under the name uncultured bacterium. Its description in RNAcentral is "bacterial SSU rRNA". It matches the Rfam family "Bacterial small subunit ribosomal RNA", at positions 28 to 335 of the family's 1533-position model. The record is from RNAcentral.
GACGAACGCUGGCGGCGUGCCUAACACAUGCAAGUCGAACGGAACUUUUUAAAGGAUUUCUUCGGAAUGAAUUUGAUUAAGUUUAGUGGCGGACGGGUGAGUAACGCGUGAGUAACCUGCCUCUAAGAGGGGAAUAACAUUCUGAAAAGAAUGCUAAUACCGCAUAAUAUAUAUUUAUCGCAUGGUAGAUAUAUCAAAGAUUUAUCGCUUAGAGAUGGACUCGCGUCCGAUUAGUUAGUUGGUGAGGUAACGGCUCACCAAGACCGCGAUCGGUAGCCGGACUGAGAGGUUGACCGGCCACAUUGGGACUGAGAUACGGCCCAGA